Molecule: long non-coding RNA, 838 nt
Filed under: Homo sapiens (human)
Lineage: Eukaryota; Metazoa; Chordata; Mammalia; Primates; Hominidae
Description: LHRI_LNC952.1
Source: RNAcentral
GGCUGAUUUAAUCACAGGGAGCACAGAGGACGGUACCUAAAUCAGAAGGGAUCUGGGGAGGUUUCCUGGAAAAGGUUUCAACCAAAGCCAUAAAUGCUGAUGUGGAUAUCAGGACAGUGUUUCAAGCAAUUUAGAUACAAUAUAAAAUAUACUGAUGCCAUAGUAGAAGAAGUUGAAGCCACUUUGCCAAGAUAUUUGGUUCUGAUACAAAGGAAGUUUUUCUCGGCCUGGUCUUGACUUAACAGUGACUUUAGUACUAUCCUGUUCAGACACCUCAAGUCUUCAGAAGAAAGCAGAUGAUGUGAAAGUAUAUCUAGGUCCCCAAGAGAGAUGCAAAUUACCAGCUGUAUUCCCUCAUGUCAGGAAAAAGAGGGUCCCAUAUAUUUCUUGUCUAAUACAAAAUCGCAGAAGGCUGAAACACAUUAACUAGAAAAGAGAAUGCAAUUUGGAUUCAACUACCUGCUGUCAUGAAAGGUAACAGUAGUUAAUAAUGUUUGCAAUUCAUGGGAUGUUAGAGAUAAAAGAGUCCUCAAAUAUCCUCCAGCAAAAUCUCUCUCCUUUUACAAAUGGACAAACUAAGGACAAGAGAAGAAAGAUGAGUCAAGCCUUCAGUCUUAUGCUGUGAUCUGAUGGUGAGCUAUAAAAUCACUGUCAAGAGAGCCCUUCCAACCACCUGUGCUCCUGGAAUUCAUGAGGGAAACACAUUCCUAAAACAAAACUAGCAACAUCAAGAUAUUACCAAAUGCUAGGCCGGGCGCUGUGGCUCAUGCCUGUAAUCCCAGCAGUUUGGGAGGCCGAGGCGUGUGGAUCAUGAGGUCAGGAGAUCGAGACCAUGGCG